UUUGGGUUCCCAUUCUGACAGCCGGCAAAAUAGCGUGGGUGAUGUCCCCUUACCAGGAGAAGUGCUGAAUGUCGGGAUCAGAGGGUUCCGUGGUAGAUGAGGAUGGAAUGUUGGGAUCGGAGGGUUCCGUGGUAGCUGGGGAUGGAAUGUCGGGAUCAGAGGGUUCCGUGGUAGCUGGGGAUGGAAUGUCGGGAUCAGAGGGUUCCGUGGUAGCUGGGGAUGGAAUGUCGGGAUCAGAGGGUUCCGUGGUAGCUGGGGAUGGAAUGUCGGGAUCAGAGGGUUCCGUGGUAGCUGGGGAUGGAAUGUCGGGAUCAGAGGGUUCCGUGGUAGCUGGGGAUGGAAUGUCGGGAUCAGAGGGUUCCGUGGUAGCUGGGGAUGGAAUGUUGGGAUCAGAGGGUUCCGUGGUAGCUGGGGAUGGAAUGUUGGGAUCAGAGGGUUCCGUGGUAGCUGGGGUUGGAAUGUUGGGAUCAGAGGGUUCUGUGACAGCUGGGAAGGAACAGAUAGGAGAGAACAGUUCUGACUGGUAGCUGGGAAUAGGCAUCUGGAGUGAGAAGGAAAAGUGUGAAUUAAGUGUAGUGAGAGCCCUGUCUAUACUACAGUGUCCAUUUCCAGAGCUGCGCGGGUGGUUAAUGAUGGCUGUGCAGUCUGCUGUUGUGGGCCAGG
Gopherus flavomarginatus (Mexican gopher tortoise) is the source of this 663-nucleotide long non-coding RNA. RefSeq lists it as uncharacterized. The transcript is spliced from 9 exons. The record is from RefSeq and is a predicted model, not a curated record. NCBI's taxonomy places the organism in Eukaryota, Metazoa, Chordata, Testudines, Testudinidae.